GCCAGGCAUGGUGGCGUGUGCCUGUAGUCCCAGCUACUCGGGAGGCUGAGGUAGGAGGAUCACUUGAGCCCAGGAGGUUGAGACUGCAGUGAGCUAUGAUCGCAUCAUGGCACUCCAACCUGGGUGAAAAAGAGAGAACCUGUCUCAA
Molecule: non-coding RNA, 148 nt
Filed under: Pan troglodytes (chimpanzee)
Lineage: Eukaryota; Metazoa; Chordata; Mammalia; Primates; Hominidae
Source: Rfam by way of RNAcentral